UGAUGUGGCUCAAUGGCAGAGCAUCUCACUCGUAAUGAGAAGGUUGUCAGUUCGAUUCUGACCAUCA
RNAcentral lists this transfer RNA (67 nucleotides) under bovine gut metagenome. It matches the Rfam family "tRNA". From Rfam's summary of the family: Transfer RNA (tRNA) molecules are approximately 80 nucleotides in length. The record is from RNAcentral.